CCUACGGGAGGCAGCAGUGAGGAAUAUUGGUCAAUGGACGAGAGUCUGAACCAGCCAAGUAGCGUGAAGGAUGACUGCCCUAUGGGUUGUAAACUUCUUUUAUAUGGGAAUAAAAUGUUCCACGUGUGGGAUUUUGUAUGUACCAUAUGAAUAAGGAUCGGCUAACUCCGUGCCAGCAGCCGCGGUAAUACGGAGGAUCCGAGCGUUAUCCGGAUUUAUUGGGUUUAAAGGGAGCGUAGGUGGAUUGUUAAGUAAGUUGUGAAAUUUUGCGGCUCAACCGUAAAAUUGCAGUUGAAACUGGCAGUCUUGAGUACAGUAGAGGUGGGCGGAAGUCGUGGUGUAGCGGUGAAAUGCUUAGAUAUCACGAAGAACUCCGAUUGCGAAGGCAGCUCACUGGACUGCAACUGACACUGAGGCUCGAAAGUGUGGGUAUCAAACAGGAUUAGAUACCCUUGUAGUC
This 460-nucleotide ribosomal RNA is filed under the name uncultured bacterium. RNAcentral's name for it is "partial 16S ribosomal RNA". It matches the Rfam family "Bacterial small subunit ribosomal RNA", at positions 338 to 795 of the family's 1533-position model. The record is from RNAcentral.